This 496-nucleotide ribosomal RNA is filed under the name Bryodemella holdereri. Its description in RNAcentral is "partial 12S ribosomal RNA". The record is from RNAcentral. Lineage: Eukaryota; Metazoa; Arthropoda; Insecta; Orthoptera; Acrididae.
UUAGUGCAAUUGAAUAUUUUUGGUUAAUAUAGUUAUUAGUAUAUUUGAGUUUUAUUUUGAUUUUAUUGGGUGAAAUUUCAUUUUUUAGUAUAACUCUUUAUUAUGAACCUGUGAAACUUAAGAGAUAAACUAGGAUUAGAUACCCUAUUAUUUUAAGUGUUAAUUUAAAUUGCCUGGGUARUAUUAGUUAAGGUCUUUAAACUCAAAGAAUUUGGCGGUAUUUCAUUCCAUUCAGAGGAACCUGUCUCGUAAUUGAUAGUACACAAUUAACUUUACUUAAUUUAUUUGUUUGUAUAUCUCCGUUAUCGGAAAAUCUUUUUGGAGUUAUAAUUUUCCUGUUUUUCCAUUAAAAAUUAUCUCAGGUCAAGGUGCAGCUUAUAGUUAAGUGUAUGAUGGGUUACAAUAAAUUUUUUUAUUAUGGAUUAUGGUUUUGGAAUAUUCUAAUGAAGGUGGAUUUGAUAGUAAUUUAAUUUAUUUAAUUUAAUUGAUAUUGGCU